GAUGAACGCUAGCGGCAGGCUUAACACAUGCAAGUCGAGGGGCAACACGGGUAGCAAUACCUGGUGGCGACCGGCGCAAGGGUGCGUAACGCGUGAGCAACAUGCCCUAUACAGGGGGAUAAUCCAGGGAAACUUGGUCUAAUAUCCCAUAGUAUUUAGAGGUGGCAUCACCACUAAAUUAAAGCUUCGGUGGUAUAGGAUUGGCUCGCGUGACAUUAGCUGGAUGGUGGGGUAACGGCUCACCAUGGCGAUGAUGUCUAGGGGUUCUGAGAGGAAGACCCCCCAACUGGGACUGAGACACGGCCCAGACUCCUACGGGAGGCAGCAGUGAGGAAUAUUGGACAAUGGAUGGAAAUCUGAUCCAGCCAUGCCGCGUGCAGGAAGACGGCCCUAUGGGUUGUAAACUGCUUUUCCAGGGAGAGAACUUACGCACGUGUUGCGUGACUGACGGUACCCUGGGAAUAAGCAUCGGCUAACUCCGUGCC
This 485-nucleotide ribosomal RNA is filed under the name uncultured bacterium. Its description in RNAcentral is "bacterial SSU rRNA". It matches the Rfam family "Bacterial small subunit ribosomal RNA", at positions 28 to 509 of the family's 1533-position model. The record is from RNAcentral.